Molecule: ribosomal RNA, 388 nt
Filed under: uncultured eukaryote
Lineage: Eukaryota
Description: partial 18S ribosomal RNA
Rfam family: Eukaryotic small subunit ribosomal RNA
Source: RNAcentral
CAAUAGCGUAUAUUAAAGUUGUUGCAGUUAAAAAGCUCGUAGUUGGAUUUCUGAUCGAGACAUCAGGUCGGGUCCGAGAGGAUCAUGUACUUUGAUUUUGUUUUGAUCAUCCUUGGGGAGAGCAUUUCUGGCAUUCAGUUGUCGGGAUUGGGAUCCUCAUCGUUUACUGUGAAAAAAUUAGAGUGUUCAAAGCAGGCCUCGGCCUCUGAAUACAUUAGCAUGGAAUAAUAAGAUAGGACUUUGGUGGUCUAUUUUGUUGGUUUGCACGCCAAAGUAAUGAUUAAUAGGGAUAGUUGGGGGUAUUCGUAUUCAAUUGUCAGAGGUGAAAUUCUUGGAUUUAUGGAAGACGAACUACUGUGAAAGCAUUUACCAAGGAUGUUUUCAUUAA